AGAGUUUGAUCAUGGCUCAGGAUGAACGCUAGCUACAGGCUUAACACAUGCAAGUCGAGGGGAAACGACAUCGAAAGCUUGCUUUUGAUGGGCGUCGACCGGCGCACGGGUGAGUAACGCGUANCCAACCUGCCCACCACUUGGGGAUAGCCUUGCGAAAGUAAGACUAAUACCCAAUGAUAUCUCUAGAAGACAUCUGAAAGAGAUUAAAGAUUUAUCGGUGAUGGAUGGGGAUGCGUCUGAUUAGCUUGUUGGCGGGGUAACGGCCCACCAAGGCAACGAUCAGUAGGGGUUCUGAGAGGAAGGUCCCCCACAUUGGAACUGAGACACGGUCCAAACUCCUACGGGAGGCAGCA
Molecule: ribosomal RNA, 356 nt
Filed under: uncultured bacterium
Lineage: Bacteria
Description: bacterial SSU rRNA
Rfam family: Bacterial small subunit ribosomal RNA
Source: RNAcentral